Mobula hypostoma (lesser devil ray) is the source of this 489-nucleotide long non-coding RNA. RefSeq lists it as uncharacterized. The transcript is spliced from 3 exons. NCBI's taxonomy places the organism in Eukaryota, Metazoa, Chordata, Chondrichthyes, Myliobatiformes, Myliobatidae. The record is from RefSeq and is a predicted model, not a curated record.
GCUGCUUCUGGCCAAGUCCUCAUCUCCCUUUGAACUGGUUUGAACCGUUUAAUCAGUGGGCAGAAUGCAGGAGUCAGCAUACCAGUGAUCGAACGUUCGAAGGCAGAGUUGACGGGACAGAUGGCCUGAAGGGUGUUGCCUUUAGUCUCACUUGAAUACCAGUGUGCUUUCCUCUCUUUUGCUUGGUUGCACACUGCUUCUGAUUGUGUCUCCCCUGGGUCACCACACAACGCGCGACAAGCCCAUGCUAUAGAGCUCGUCUACUAUUCAACAACUUGCCAUUGAGCUGUUGGUUUUCGCGGGCUUUGGGGAGAAGAUGCGAUGGAGAUGAAGAGAGGAGACGCGCAUGAAGAGAUGCUGUAGGCUGGCUGACAGAGCGGACUCCUAGUGGGUAGGGCUCGGGACCCUGCGGGGGUCGAAGGAGGAUCAGCAAAGGAAAACCGUGAGCUCCAACGAAUUGCCGAAUUGUGCACAAACUGAUUAAAUAAA